CCGGUAACCCACUCAGAGGGGGAGUAACACUUGGAAACAAGGGCUAAUACCGCAUAACAGUUUAUGCCGCAUGGCAUAAGAGUGAAAGGCGCUUUCGGGUGUCGCUGAUGGAUGGACCCGCGGUGCAUUAGCUAGUUGGUGAGGUAACGGCUCACCAAGGCCACGAUGCAUAGCCGACCUGAGAGGGUGAUCGGCCACACUGGGACUGAGACACGGCCCAG
Molecule: ribosomal RNA, 221 nt
Filed under: uncultured bacterium
Lineage: Bacteria
Description: partial 16S ribosomal RNA
Rfam family: Bacterial small subunit ribosomal RNA
Source: RNAcentral